CCUACGGGUGGCAGCAGUGGGGAAUAUUGCACAAUGGGGGGAACCCUGAUGCAGCGACGCCGCGUGGGUGAAGGAGGAGUUCGGGAUGUAAAGCCCUAUCAGCAGGGAAGAACAAUGACGGGACCGGAGGAAGAAGCCCCGGCGAACUACGUGCCAGCAGCCGCGGUAAUAAGUAGGGGGGAAGCGGUCUCCGGAUUGACUGGGGGUAAAGGGAGCGUAGACGGCCGUGCAAGUCGGGAGGGAAAGGCGGGGGCUCAACCCCCGGACUGCUCUGGAAACUGUACGGCUGGAGUGCAGUAGAGGUCAGUGGAAUUCCUCUUGUCGCGGUGACAUGCGUCGCUAUUUGG
This 347-nucleotide ribosomal RNA is filed under the name uncultured bacterium. RNAcentral's name for it is "partial 16S ribosomal RNA". It matches the Rfam family "Bacterial small subunit ribosomal RNA", at positions 338 to 701 of the family's 1533-position model. The record is from RNAcentral.